CAAGUUCAUCCCAUAGACCUUUGAGUCUAUUAAAAUAGGAUGCUAUAUCUAAGGACCCUUGAGAGGUGUUGGACAGCUCUCUUUUUAAUUCAAAAAUUUUGGUCCUAUUGGCAAUACCAUAUCGUGCCUGAAGUUGUGACCAUAUGCUUUCAGCAGUAUCAGAAUAAUGCACGGACUCAGCAAUCGCAGUAGAAAUAGAAGC
RNAcentral lists this long non-coding RNA (202 nucleotides) under Nicotiana benthamiana. RNAcentral describes it as "long non-coding RNA (NBEN_LNC031482)". The record is from RNAcentral. Lineage: Eukaryota; Viridiplantae; Streptophyta; Magnoliopsida; Solanales; Solanaceae.